AAGCCAAAGAGAGUUGCAGUUCCGCCUACAGCUCAAAGUAAAGUCUAGUGAGGGGAAUUUGAAGAUCAGGAUAAUCCAUAAUGGCUGCAGAAUCCCUUUGUCUGAAUAGUACACUGAAACCGAUCUAGUCAGCAGAACCAAGAAACCCCAAUCAGGGAUCAGGACCUGUGGUGCUGGGCACACUACACACAUCAUAAAAAGGCAAUCCCUACGGCAAAGAAAUUACUAUUUUAGCAUAUGACAAAAGACAACCAAAAGAGAAAACAAACAAAGCAUUCCCACCUGUGCAUCGAACAUACUGAAAAGGACACCCUGCAGAGACAGAAUCCCAGUUUGCAAAUCUACUAUUACAGAACUAAAAAGACACUGCUUUGCAAGGUAGCUUCAUUUGUACUGCAUGGUACUGUUAAAGCAAUUCCAGGACAUCAUCAGCGGGAUUGCUAUAUAUAUAUGUUGGAGGAGGUUGACAAAGUGCUUUGCCACCAGUCCCGGAAGUACUGGAGCAAUGCUGUUAUUUGCUUAAUUCAAAGAACAGAUGAAAAAGGACUCAAGUGGAUUGAAUUGUUCUGUUCAAAGCUUGUAAGGCAGAUAUGAGCACUAUGACUAUGGCAAAUGUAGUAAAACCAUUUUUGCUUUCAGAUCCAAGAUCCACGUUCAAAUCAAAAUACAUU
Molecule: long non-coding RNA, 671 nt
Organism: Mauremys mutica (yellowpond turtle)
Lineage: Eukaryota; Metazoa; Chordata; Testudines; Geoemydidae
Exons: 3
Source: RefSeq, a predicted model, not a curated record